UCCCUGGUGGCCCAGCUGGUCAAGGCGUCCGACUGUUAUGAACAGAGCAAUCGGGAGAUCGACAGUUCGAUCCUGUCUCGGGGAG
RNAcentral lists this transfer RNA (85 nucleotides) under Verticillium alfalfae VaMs.102. RNAcentral describes it as "tRNA-Asn". RNAcentral also lists the same sequence under 1 other name. The record is from RNAcentral. Lineage: Eukaryota; Fungi; Ascomycota; Sordariomycetes; Glomerellales; Plectosphaerellaceae.